GCAUAUCAAUAAGCGGAGGAAAAGAAACCAACAGGGAUUGCCCUAGUAACGGCGAGUGAAGCGGCAACAGCUCAAAUUUGAAAUCUGGCCUUCUGGUCCGAAUUGUAAUUUGCAGAGGAUGCAUUUGACGCGGUACCUUUCGAGUUCCUUGGAACAGGACGCCUUAGAGGGUGAGAGCCCCGUACGAUUGGCCACCAAGUCUCUGUAAUGCUCCUUCGACGAGUCGAGUAGUUUGGGAAUGCUGCUCUAAAUGGGAGGUAAAUUUCUUCUAAAGCUAAAUACCGGCCAGAGACCGAUAGCGCACAAGUAGAGUGAUCGAAAGAUGAAAAGCACUUUGAAAAGAGGGUUAAAUAGCACGUGAAAUUGUUGAAAGGGAAGCGCUUAUGACCAGACUUUUUCUAGGGGGAUCAUCCGGCGUUCUCGCUGGUGCACUUCCCCUGGUUUAGGCCAACAUCGGUUUCUGCGGGAGGAUAAAGGCUUCGGGAAUGUGACUCCUCCGGGAGUGUUAUAGCCCGUUGCAUAAUACCCUCGCGGGGACCGAGGUACGCGCAUUGCAAGGAUGUUGGCAUAAUGGUCAUCAGUGACCCGUCUUGAAACACGGACCAAGGAGUCGAACAUUUGUGCGAGUGUUUGGGUGUCAAACCCUCACGCGUAAUGAAAGUGAACGGAGGUGAGAGCCUUAGGGUGCAUCAUCGACCGAUCCUGAUGUCUUCGGAUGGAUUUGAGUAAGAGCAUAACUGUUCGGACCCGAAAGAUGGUGAACUAUGCGUGGAUAGGGUGAAGCCAGAGGAAACUCUGGUGGAGGCUCGCAGCGGUUCUGACGUGCAAAUCGAUCGUCAAAUCUGCGCAUGGGGGCGAAAGACUAAUCGAACCAUCUAGUAGCUGGUUACCGCCGA
This 896-nucleotide ribosomal RNA is filed under the name Hansfordia pulvinata. Its description in RNAcentral is "LSU rRNA". It matches the Rfam family "Eukaryotic large subunit ribosomal RNA", at positions 38 to 964 of the family's 3401-position model. The record is from RNAcentral. Lineage: Eukaryota; Fungi; Ascomycota; Sordariomycetes; Xylariales.